UACAAGGGUUUCUGCUGUGAAUAGCACAUGGACGAGGCGUUUGCACUUUAUCUGUGCAGAAUCGAUAUCAAGAGAUUUCAGAAAUACAAUUUUUGUUUCUUGGAGCUGCUGGUGGAUCGUUUGUCUCGGCGAUCCG
Molecule: small nuclear RNA, 136 nt
Organism: Carcharodon carcharias (great white shark)
Lineage: Eukaryota; Metazoa; Chordata; Chondrichthyes; Lamniformes; Lamnidae
Product: U11 spliceosomal RNA
Exons: 1
Source: RefSeq, a predicted model, not a curated record